UAGUGAUUCUCUUCUGGGAGCUGAGACCAUGUAGAUACUUAGUGGUUUACUGCAGUGGAAACUGACACAGCUCUGAUAUAUAUAUAUAUAUAUAUAUAUAUAU
Long non-coding RNA from Alosa sapidissima (American shad), 103 nucleotides. RefSeq lists it as uncharacterized. The transcript has 3 exons. NCBI's taxonomy places the organism in Eukaryota, Metazoa, Chordata, Actinopteri, Clupeiformes, Clupeidae. The record is from RefSeq and is a predicted model, not a curated record.